This 1062-nucleotide small RNA is filed under the name Pan troglodytes (chimpanzee). RNAcentral describes it as "retained intron". The record is from RNAcentral. Lineage: Eukaryota; Metazoa; Chordata; Mammalia; Primates; Hominidae.
AUAUUUUUCAACAAAUUCAGAAGUGAGUAGAGAAUGCAUAGUAGCUGUCGGCAGAGGAGGAACCAGAAUCUCUCCAAAGAAAUUUCCUCAAACAGAAUUUCACACAGGGUAUUCCAUGGAGAAUGAGCCUGGAAUUGUCUCGCCAUUUAAACGAGUAUUCCUAAAAGGUGAAAAGAGUAGAGAUAAGAAAGCCCAUGAGAAGGUGACAGAGAGGCGCCCUCUGCACACUGUGGUGUUGUCAUUGCCUGAGCGCGUCGAGCCAGACAGACUGCUGAGCGACUAUAUUGAGAAGGAGGUAAAGAGAGCCCACCAGCUUCCGGGACACUUGACUCAGGAGCACGAUGCUGUGCUCAGCCUGUCUGCGUACAACGUCAAGCUGGCCUGGAGGGACGGGGAGGAUAUCAUCCUCAGGGUGCCCAUCCAUGACAUCGCCGCCGUCUCCUAUGUUCGGGAUGACGCUGCACACCUGGUGGUCCUGAAGACAGGUCGCUGCGGAGGAGCUUUGCUGUCUGCUAGGCCAGGUCUUCCAGGUUGUUUACACGGAGUCCACCAUCGACUUUCUGGACAGAGCGAUAUUUGAUGGGGCCUCUACCCCCACCCACCACCUGUCCCUGCACAGCGAUGACUCUUCUACAAAAGUGGACAUUAAGGAGACCUACGAGGUGGAAGCCAGCACUUUGUGAGUGUACAUGCCACCAAGCCCUGUGGUGGGACAUGCACCAAAUGCAUUGUCUGGUGUUGUCCAGGCUGCAGCCAGUCAGCUCCCCCAUCUCAGCUCACCCUCGCUAAGCCAUCCCCAGACCCACUGUCCCCAGCUUAGUGAAUGGCUGAGGCCUGGCUCGCCGCCCUCUCCUCAUAGACUUCUAGAGCCCUUGCUGUCCCUCUUGUCUCUCCCUGCCUACCUUCCCAUGGCCUCCCAAGAGUGAGCUUGUAUUAGGCAUGUUGGAUGGAGCUGUUCCCCUGCCCGAGCCUGCCGAGGCGCUGGCCUUCCAGCCCAUCUCUGCCACCGCCUGGGGCUCUGUAGUAGUUCACCCACUCGCGCUCUCCAUUCCUGCCACCUCC